AAUUGUGAUGAGGACAAUCUCUGAGCAUCCCUUUGAAUCUCUCCCAAGCUGAAUAUAGAUACUCCUCUGAUUUCUGUUUGAAGGCGACUAUCUCACUUCUGAUCU
Small nucleolar RNA from Nicotiana attenuata, 105 nucleotides. It matches the Rfam family "Plant small nucleolar RNA R71". From Rfam's summary of the family: R71 is a member of the C/D box family of snoRNAs containing the C (UGAUGA) and D (CUGA) box motifs. Multiple nearly identical copies of this snoRNA have been identified in Arabidopsis, and it is thought to function as a 2'-O-ribose methylation guide for 18S ribosomal RNA. The record is from Rfam. Lineage: Eukaryota; Viridiplantae; Streptophyta; Magnoliopsida; Solanales; Solanaceae.